GAGUCUUCUUAACUCUGUCUUGUAGUCGCGACUUACGAUAUGCCUAAUGGCGCCUGAAUUAUCCCCUGACGGGCCUUUAAUGCCUAGGAAUCUGCCUGUAAAAGGGGGACAACGUUUCGAAAGGAACGCUAAUACCGCAUACGUCCUACGGGAGAAAGCAGGGGACCUUCGGGCCUUGCGCUAUCAGAUGAGCCUAGGUCGGAUUAGCUAGUUGGUGGGGUAAUGGCUCACCAAGGCGACGAUCCGUAACUGGUCUGAGAGGAUGAUCAGUCACACUGGAACUGAGACACGGUCCAGACUCCUACGGGAGGCAGCAGUGGGGAAUAUUGGACAAUGGGCGAAAGCCUGAUCCAGCCAUGCCGCGUGUGUGAAGAAGGUCUUCGGAUUGUAAAGUACUUUAAGUUGGGAGGAAGGGCAGUAGACUAAUACCUUGCUGUUUUGACGUUACAGACCGAAUAAGCACCGGCUAACUCUGUGCCAGCAGCCGCGGUAAUACAGAGGGUGCAAGCGUUAAUCGGAAUUACAGGUCGUAAAGAGCGCGCACGUCGUGUGCUAAGCCGCAUGAAAAAGCUUCAGUUUCAACCUGGCAGCUGCAUCCCACACUGGCUCGAUAGAGUGCGGUAGAUGGGGGAGUAAUUUUCUCGUGUAUCCGUGCAGCUGCGUAGAUAUCGUUAAGGGGCAUCGAGCUGCCGAGGUAGACUACUCCGGACUGCUCCUCCAACGCUUAUCGUGCCCAAAGCUGUGAGGUAUCAAUCCAGAGUAGACACCCUCCGCCAGUCGACGUCGCUACCGAUGUUACCUAGUCUACCGCAUACCUAGGAAUUUCAAUCGACGCCCGCCUCACGAACUCUAGCUGACCGACCUCUGGGAUGCAGUCCCAGUGAAACCUCGGAUUUAUCUAUCGAAUUCAGCACACACCGUGGGCGCUUGGUCCAGUAGAAUGCACUAACGAGCUCCUCUGCUGAACUGCGCUGCUAGUCCUAGUAGCGUGCUCUUCUGCGAGCGAU
Molecule: ribosomal RNA, 1007 nt
Filed under: Pseudomonas putida
Lineage: Bacteria; Pseudomonadati; Pseudomonadota; Gammaproteobacteria; Pseudomonadales; Pseudomonadaceae
Description: bacterial SSU rRNA
Rfam family: Bacterial small subunit ribosomal RNA (bases 1-862)
Source: RNAcentral